Long non-coding RNA from Astatotilapia calliptera (eastern happy), 1110 nucleotides. NCBI's taxonomy places the organism in Eukaryota, Metazoa, Chordata, Actinopteri, Cichliformes, Cichlidae. The record is from Ensembl.
UUUAGGUGUUAAUGAGGGACUUAAACAGGUGAAUUAUGACAUUCUGGCAUAACUGCAUUUUUCUUAAUGUAAAUGCUCAUGAUGGCCCACCAUCAUGGAAAUAUCAUGGAGCGGCCUGUGGUUGGUUAGUAAACUGUGGUCCUCCGAAACCUGACACAGCAUCGCCUGUAAGCUGAUUUAAAGGUAUUGUGUCGGAACUCUCUGGUUUUAGUGAGUCGACACCCCUGCAGAGUGUGACUGUGGAGCAUCAUCUCAUACAUGACAGCACACCCCGCCCACGCACUCCCUCACACACACACUAACACACACACACUGUCCGGGGUCGCCGCCAGGCAGAGGCAGGAGGAAGAGUAUUGGGAAAAACCUACUGUGUACCGCCAGGCGGAGAAGAUCGAGAGGACAAGUCACAUGCUAUGACUCGCUCUGUCACUAUCAAGCUCUCCAACAUGAAGAACGAGCCGCUCCAAUCAAAACUUUCAAAAUAAAAUUGUGCCUCACGUCAUUAAAGCGCUCAUCGUGGUGGGUUUCAUGGCACGUAAUGAGGAUAAAUGUAAAAGACGGUUUAGGUUUACAAUAAAAAAUAAAAAUAAAUAAAAAAAAUCAAAUGAAAAAAUAAAUAGUUUGUUAUAAAUCGUAAGCGCUGUUUAUCAAUCUGUGUUGACCUUAAUGAAAGUGUAGCUGAGUGGCAGUGAAGAGCUGCUUGUCAAGUGAACAAAGUGCUUUUAAUGGGUUUAUUAAAGGCAAGUUUAACUGGGAUGACUGGUAAUUUAUCAACUGUCAUUUCUUUUUCUUUAUGGAAAACUAUACUGUGAGAAAGAGCUAACCUUAAACGAUGGAGAUCUGUAUCCAGCACGGAUUCCUAUCAAAAUUUGCAGUUCGCCUUUUUUACGCGUCAUUUGUCAGUUUUCAGACGAUUUGAUGCACAACUUCCGGGACCGGGUCGUCUUAUUUUGAAGGUAAAAUCCGUGCGCGUCCGGGCUGGCUCUCUGCGUCUGGCUUAACGCAGCUCUCCCUCUCCCCGGUGCGCCUCAACUCCAGUACCUGACACCGCACAGCGCGUCCACAGGCUGAGGGGACGCAGGCGCACAGGGGGGACAGCUGGUUCCUUUU